AUUGAACGCUAGCGGGAUGCUUUACACAUGCAAGUCGAACGGAGCGGCGGACGGGUGAGUAAUGCCUAGGAAUCUGCCUGGUAGUGGGGGAUAACGUCCGGAAACGGGCGCUAAUACCGCAUACUAUCAGAUGAGCCUAGGUCGGAUUAUCUAGUUGGUGGGGGAAAGGCCUACCAAGGCGACGAUCCGUACCUGGUCUGCGAGGAUGAUCAGUCCCACUGGAACUGAGCCCCGGUCCAGACUCCUACGGGAGGCAGCAGUGGGGAAUAUUGUACAAUGGGCGAAAGCCUUAUCCAGCCAUGCCGCUUGUGUGAAGAAGGUCUUCGGAUUGUAAAGCACUUUUGGCAGAGAAGCGGUAUCUGAAGAAUAAGCACCGGCUAACUACGUGCCAGCAGCCGCGGUAAUAC
Molecule: ribosomal RNA, 407 nt
Filed under: uncultured bacterium
Lineage: Bacteria
Description: partial 16S ribosomal RNA
Rfam family: Bacterial small subunit ribosomal RNA
Source: RNAcentral